AAAUUAAAUAAAAUGCCUGCGUCAUUUCUAGUUGAGGGCAAGACUGUGAUCUCACACGUUAGACUACAAAAUGAAGAGCUUGGUCUGAAUGACCAGAAGCUUCUCCUGUACACUCUUCCUCUUACGACAUCACUUCAUGAUCAUCGUCAAGACGACAAGGCUGCUAGUUAGGUCGGGGUUUGACGCUGAUCUUCAGUUCGACGCUACGGCGGAAAUGGAGUUCGGGUCGUUCGGUGAUGCAUCGUCGACAUCGAGUCGAGUCAUAGAACCCGACAUGCAAGAUCGUCGUUCUGAGGUAAAAACCCAAGAGCCCAUCUAUUUUGGAUUUUGGUUUUAAGAGAAAUUGGGUUCUGAUUGUUGUUGAUAAUUUGGUUGCUGGUGACGACGAUGCCGGAAUCGAUUGCAUAAGUUUUCUUGUUCGUGGGCUCUGAGGCAGAAGACCCAGACCUCUCUAAGUUGUAACUUGUAAGUAUACGUCUGGGAACCUAUCUCGUGUUUAAGCUCUGAUUAUUAAAGAAAUAAGUUUGAUAUUGGGUUUUUGAAUUUGGCUUUUGGUUUUUGGCGAUGACGGGAAACUGGAACUUAAUUAAUUGGGUUGAGAAGCAAUAUAAGGAUUUUCCAUUAAGUCAGAAUUGAGAAGGAUGGAGAGCGUUGGACGAUGAAGGUAAACAGAGAAGGAAACAGAAAAAGAGUAGAGAAAUGUUCAGUGGCUUUGGUCCAGCAACGCAGCAGGAAGAAAGAGUUUCAAAUAAAGAAUUUAUAAGACAUACCUCCAGUUACCCGAGAUUGUAAGCAGUGGUCGUGUUUGCCUAGCAUCGUGGAGUAAAGGCUCAAACUCCAAGAAUAUCAUGUAGGGGAUUCAAGACUCUCCUCGAUUAGUGGCUUUCAUAGAUAACGUAUAUAUAAUAGUGUUGCAUGGCUUAUGGUUAUAUCUUUAUGAAUUUAAAGAUUUUGAUAUUUUAAUGGCCAUGCUUGUUUUCAAUUGCUUUGAUAUUGUGUGAUGACCUAAGAGUGAGUGGAGCAUAGCGACUACCUUGGAAUCUUGGGUUGCUAUGAAAAUGUCAUUUUUGGAUUGUACUUAGAUACUAGUUUUGCCUCGUGGUUUAUAGCUUAAACUUCAAAGAAAGUCAAAUUGGUUUCUUUACACGU
This is a long non-coding RNA of Rosa chinensis, 1149 nucleotides long. RefSeq lists it as uncharacterized. NCBI's taxonomy places the organism in Eukaryota, Viridiplantae, Streptophyta, Magnoliopsida, Rosales, Rosaceae. The record is from RefSeq and is a predicted model, not a curated record. The transcript has 3 exons.